AAAAAGAUGGCCCUGAUUAUCCACCUCUAAAAGCCCUGCAGGUGAAAUCCAAAGAGUCAGAGCGUAGUAGGUACUUAAGCUAUAUUCCCUUACUUUUCCACCAGAGACAACACAUAUUUUUUCAGGCUUUGUGAACCUUUUGCAAAUAACAAAUGCUUUGUUCUAUUUUGGGAAUCCUGGUGAAGUCCCAGACCUUCCCGUCACCUGACAAACUCAAGAAGAUGAAUACUCUUUGAGCAAAUGCAGUGAACCAGUCAGUAUAAGUUUCCUAGUCCCUUCCAGGCACAGGAGUCUAUCAUGUACUC
RNAcentral lists this long non-coding RNA (305 nucleotides) under Homo sapiens (human). Its description in RNAcentral is "HSALNT0047085". Lineage: Eukaryota; Metazoa; Chordata; Mammalia; Primates; Hominidae. The record is from RNAcentral.